This 300-nucleotide long non-coding RNA is filed under the name Brassica napus (rape). RNAcentral's name for it is "long non-coding RNA (BNAP_LNC023741)". The record is from RNAcentral. Lineage: Eukaryota; Viridiplantae; Streptophyta; Magnoliopsida; Brassicales; Brassicaceae.
UCGAUCCCAAUAUGACUGCCUUUAUAAAUAAAUGAAAAUUUAAACGAAGACAGCGUCGUUAUCCCUGAAACUCAUUAAGGGUUUCUUAAAUUUUUUUUGGCUGAUUUAAAAAAAACAAAAAUAAAAAUGAGAACCAAUCACGGAUCGCCACGUGUCAAUGAGACCUGCAAACAGUGCAAGAAACGAAUAAAGCACGUUCCUUAUUUUACAUAUAGAAGAACCGUAUAUUUCCAAUUUCGAUGAAGCCUAUGCCAUAAGAACCUUUUUUUUUUAUGCGAUAAAAAUGCUCUCAGGCUUUCG